GUUGAACGCUGGCGGCAGGCUUAACACAUGCAAGUCGAGCGAGCGGCGGACGGGUGAGUAAUGUCAGGUAAACUUCCUGAUGGAGGGGGAUAAGUACUGGAAACGUUAGCUAAUACCGCAUCCCAUCAGAUGUUCCCAGAUGGGAUUAGUUAGUAGGUGGGGUAAUGGCUCACCAAGGCGACGAUCCCUAGCUGGUCUGAGAGGAUGACCGGCCACACUGGAACUGAGACCCGGUCCAGACUCCUACGGGAGGCAGCAGUGGGGAAUAUUGCACAAUGGGCGAAAGCCUGAUGCAUACAAGCCGCGGGAGUGAGGAAGGCCUUCGGGUGGUAAAGCACUUUCAUCGGGGAGGCGGUACCCGAAGAGAAAGCAACGGCUAACUCCGUGCCAGCCGCCGCGGUAAUUC
This 406-nucleotide ribosomal RNA is filed under the name uncultured bacterium. RNAcentral's name for it is "partial 16S ribosomal RNA". It matches the Rfam family "Bacterial small subunit ribosomal RNA", at positions 28 to 526 of the family's 1533-position model. The record is from RNAcentral.